This 955-nucleotide long non-coding RNA is filed under the name Homo sapiens (human). RNAcentral describes it as "long non-coding RNA NONHSAT164804". Lineage: Eukaryota; Metazoa; Chordata; Mammalia; Primates; Hominidae. The record is from RNAcentral.
GGAAUACUGGGAUUAUUAUGAGAAAUUAUCGAAAUCCAGAAUAUUCAGGCCGGAAGUUGCCAGCAUCUACUGCAGUGACCUUGAUCCUGUCCAUGAAUGAAGUAGAAUGAGACCCGUAUUUGGGAGCAAUGAAAGGAAACACAAGAUGUUCCCAAUUAUUUCAACUUUCCAUGCUACCUACCUCACUCAUUUGCCUUCAUUUUGAAGUCAUGAGUUGAAGCUGUUUGGAAAAUAUUGUGGAGAGGAAAGAGUGACUUCUAGCUACAAAGAUGGAAAACAUUGCCGGGACCCAGGAGAGAUGUGUAUUAAGCAAAGUUUAACUUCAAGCCCCCAGUCUUUCUCUACUGAACAUUUUCUUGCCUCAAUAACCUCUGGCCCCUCCUUUCAGGCUUCAGCAGUAUUUGUGCUCAUUCUUUGGUCCUCCCUGCCACCCUGACCCCAUUUUUUGUUAUCAAAUUAUAUAUUCUGGUUUACCAAGAAAUUGGAGGGAUUCACAUAGACAAAAGUCUGUUUUACUUAUGAAAGCAGUAUUUUAUUCAAAAUAUCGAACAAAGGUUGAAAAUAAAGGUGUUAUUCCCAGUCUCAUGUCAGAGACUCACCAGUCCCAAACCCAGCUGGACCUGCUCUGGAUUACGGCAACGUCAUUAUCAAGGUUAUGACUGUCUUUGGCGCAAGUCUUCACAGUGGGAUCCGUGAGCUCACGGCAGAAGGUAAGUCUGGAGUUCUCCUACAUAUGAUGCAUAUCUAGGAGAUAUGAAUGGGCUGCAUAGAGCCCCUCUGCAGUUGACUGAAAAUAAAAUGUAAAGUUAAUGCAAUUCCUCACCUUAGACUUCAUUCCUAAGACUAUAUGGAAAGACAUAAGAACUGAUUUUUGGUGUUGCCAUCAGCAGCGGAGGGUGCUGCAUUAGGGGGUUGUGGAAGGAAAAUUCUCAUGCACUUCUCUUACAAGUUCUAG